UAAAGAAGAUUUGGAAGCCACAGUCGCA
RNAcentral lists this small RNA (28 nucleotides) under Bombyx mori (domestic silkworm). RNAcentral describes it as "ovarian small RNA-18269". Lineage: Eukaryota; Metazoa; Arthropoda; Insecta; Lepidoptera; Bombycidae. The record is from RNAcentral.